AGAAGGUGUUAACAGUGACAGUAUAAUAUACAUUUAUCAACAAACGAAAAAAAAGUAUAAGUUAGAAUGAAUAAUGAAGAAAUUCAGGGUUAGGGCUUAUAGGGUUUAAGAGGAAGAGAAAGAAGAAGAAGAGAGAGAGAGAUUUUAUAUAUCUGGAAUUGGAAUAUUAACUCUACAUCAGCAAAAAAUAUAUAUAAACCCUGACAUGGUGAAAUGGCCAUCAUACUUUCAACUUAAGUAAAUAUUAACAGAAGGACGCAUAGAGGUCAAACAUGCGCUUGACGGAUAAACGAUGAAACGAAGACCGAGUCAAAGAUUUAGUGAGAAUAUCACCUAAUUGAUCUUCAGAACGAACAUAAGGAGCCACAAGCUGCUUGCGUAUUAAGAGAUCACAGAUAAAAUGAUAAUCAACUUCGAUGUGUUUGAUUCGUUAAUGGAACACGGGAUUAUUGGCAAUGAAGAUAGCAGCCUGAUUAUGAUAAGACAUACUCAUAUAGGAGUGAGAACAGAAAAACCAAAAUCCCGAAGAAGAGACUAAACCCAGAGCAUCUCAGAAGCAGUAUGAGCCAUGGCACGUCACUCAACCUCGACACUAGAACGAGCAACAACAGGCUGUUUCUUGCUAUGCCAAGCAACAAGAUUACCACCAACAAAGGUACAAUAGCCCGAGGUGGAAUGGUGGUCAGUCUUAUCACCAACCCAAUCAGCAUCACUGAAGCUAGUGACAGAUAACGAGGAAGAUGGGUGAUAUAGCAAACCCCGACCGAGGGCACUCUUUAAGUACUAGAAAAUGCGACACACAGCAGCAAAAUAGGGUUGGCAGGGAGCAUGCAUAAACUUACUAACCAUACCCACGACAUACGUAAUAUCAGGAUGAGUGACAGGGAGAUAGAUUAACUUCCCAACCAACCGACGAUAACGACCAAUAUCAGGAAACAAGUCUCCGGUUUCACCAUCAAAUUUGACAUUAGAAUCCAUGGAAGUAUCACUAAGGCGAGCGCCUAAGAGGACAGUCUUAGUGAGGAGAUCAAGAACAUACUUCCGUUGGGAGAGAAACAAUCCCUGAGAAGAGCAAGCAAUUUCAAUCCCAAGAAAAAAACAACGAUGACCUAAGUCUUUGGUGAGAAAUUGUUGGCUCAAAUACCACUUCAAAUCAACAAUACCAGUGGAGUCACUACCAAAAAUGAUUAUGUCAUUGCCAUAGACAAUAAAAACAAUACUCCCCAGAAAUGAGUGUCGAACAAAGACAGAGUGAUCAAAAGUGGAACAGUGAAAAUCAUAGGCAAGCAUAAUAACACUGAAACGAUCAAACCAGGCACGAGGGGACUGCUUAAGACCAUACAAGGCCUUCUGCAAUCGACAAACAAGAUGCUCAUGACCGGGAACAACAUAGUUAGGGGAUGAUCCAUAUAGACCUCCUCUUGGAGAUCACCAUAACGAAAGGCAUUCUUGAUAUCAAGUUGAUACAAAGGCCAAGAUUGACUAACUGCAACGGAGAGAAGGAUCCGAACAGAAUUAAGGCGUGCCAAAGGAGAGAGUCUCCAAGUGAUCAACACUAUAGGUUUGUGUGUAGCCUUUGGCUACCAGGCGAGUCGUAAGCCGCUUAACAAUUCCAUCAGGAAGAUACUUAACAGUAUAAAUCCAAUGACAACCCACACUAGAUUUGCCAGAAGGUAGAGGGGUAAGUUCCCAUGUUUGAUUCUGAUGAAGGGCAUGCAUUUCCUCGUCCAUUGCAUGCUUCCAACCGAAGAUGGACAUAGUCUGCUGAUAGGAACGAGGAAUAGGAAUACUAGGCAAGCUACAAGUAAAGGAGUGAAGACCAGGAGAGAGGUGACCAUAAAAAACAAAAUUAGCAAUAGGAUGUUGAGUGCAAGUACGUUUACCUUUGCGGAGGGCAAUAGGAAGGUCAUCAGAGGGCAUAUCAGCAGAUGGAAUAGGGGAGGCAGGAACCUCAGACGAAGGAGAUGAAUUGGUCAGGCCAUAAGAUACAAAUACGACGAGCUUGAGACCUUUGAUAAACCUGCAAAGGAGGGGUAACGGGAAGACUAGAGGGAGAGGAUAUAGAAGUAGAGGAGGAAAGAACACAAGACGGAAGAGUAAGGGUGAGAGAAGUUGACUCCCCCACACGACAAGAGAGAAGAUCAAUGGAUAACUGUUGCCCAGAGGAAGAGAAAAAGGAGUGGACUCAAAAAAGGUAACAUCAGUGCUGAUAAAGUAUUGACGUGACUCAGGAUGAUAACAUCGAUACCCUUUUUGAGUACGAGAGUAGCCUAAGAACACACUUGCGAGCACGAGGAGAUAACUUAUCUAAGCCGGGUUCAA
This is a non-coding RNA of Camellia sinensis, 2322 nucleotides long. NCBI's taxonomy places the organism in Eukaryota, Viridiplantae, Streptophyta, Magnoliopsida, Ericales, Theaceae. The record is from RefSeq and is a predicted model, not a curated record.